GAUGAAGAACGCAGCGAAAUGCGAUACGUAAUGUGAAUUGCAGAAUUCAGUGAAUCAUCGAGUCUUUGAACGCACAUUGCGCCCCCUGGUAUUCCGGGGGGCAUGCCUGUCCGAGCGUCAUUGCUGCCCUCAAGCACGGCUUGUGUGUUGGGCCUCCGUCCUCCUCCCGGGGGACGGGCCCGAAAGGCAGCGGCGGCACCGCGUCCGGUCCUCGAGCGUAUGGGGCUUCGUCACCCGCUCUUGUAGGCCCGGCCGGCGCUUGCCGACACAUCAAUCUUUUUUCCAGGUUGACCUGGGAUCAGGUAGGGAUACCCGCUGAACUUAAGCAUAUCAAUAAGCGGAGGA
RNAcentral lists this unclassified non-coding RNA (345 nucleotides) under soil metagenome. Its description in RNAcentral is "partial contains 5.8S ribosomal RNA, internal transcribed spacer 2, and large subunit ribosomal RNA". The stretch from base 1 to 120 matches the Rfam family "5.8S ribosomal RNA", at positions 35 to 154 of the family's 154-position model. The record is from RNAcentral.